Molecule: ribosomal RNA, 889 nt
Filed under: Plegadiphilus threskiornis
Lineage: Eukaryota; Metazoa; Arthropoda; Insecta; Psocodea; Menoponidae
Description: 12S ribosomal RNA
Source: RNAcentral
CACUACUUAUCUAUACUUUAGAUUAUAUAUAUUAUAAGAAAGAGAUGUAUAAUAGCUCAGUUUUGAGUAAUUUCUUCUAGAAUUUCAUUCGAUUUGAAACAAGAAGUUUUAAGUAUUACACAAGUUACGUUACUGUAGUCUAGAAUUAAAAACCUGGAUAAAAUAUGUGCCAGCAUCAGCGGUCACACAUAUGGGUUCUCUCAAAAUCAUCAAUAGCAACCUAAAAUUAAAUUACUCUCUAAAAAGUCAUAAUUUAUCGGUACAAUGAUAAUAACUUAUGAUCAAUAAAGUAAAAUUUAGGUGAUAAAUCCGAGAAAAAAACCAGGAUUAGAUACCCUGUUAUUUCGGAAGAAUAAAUGGUAAGUAUAAUUUCACUAUUAGAAAGCUAAAAUAUAUGGCAGAUGAGGUUUCAUUACAGGGGAAUAUGCUGUUUAAUUCGAUGAUCCACGAAAAUCUUACUAAAUCUAGUUAACCUAAUAAGUUUACACCUUGUCCACCUCCGUUAAUAAAAAUUUCAGAUUAUACUUAGCAAUGAACAUUUACUAACAUUAAAUUUAAUGAGUAAAAGGAGUAUAAUAUCCGUAAAACGAUUAUUAUAUAAUUAAUAAAAUCAGGUAAAAGUACAGGUUAUGGUUUAGCACAAGUGUAUUACAUUUUAAAUGAAAAUAUGGAAUCAUAAAUGAAAUGUUUAUGAGGAGAAAGGACUUGUUAGUAAUAAAUUUACAUAUUAAUUUUAUGAACUAUGAUCUCUUCGAUGUACAUAUCGCCCGUCGCCCUCGAGUCAUUCUUGAGGUAAGUCGUAACACAGUGGGCCUAACGGAAGUUGGGCCUGUUUAAAACUAUUUAACUUUCUCUUCAUGGAGAAAUUAAACAUAUAAUUAUAUUAAAA